RNAcentral lists this ribosomal RNA (430 nucleotides) under Pseudomonadota bacterium. RNAcentral's name for it is "Proteobacteria bacterium partial 16S ribosomal RNA". It matches the Rfam family "Bacterial small subunit ribosomal RNA", at positions 355 to 776 of the family's 1533-position model. Lineage: Bacteria; Pseudomonadati; Pseudomonadota. The record is from RNAcentral.
UGGGGAAUAUUGGACAAUGGGGGGAACCCUGAUCCAGCCAUGCCGCGUGUGUGAAGAAGGCCUUAUGGUUGUAAAGCACUUUAAGCGAGGAGGAGGGUACUGGUAUUAAUACUACCAGGUACUGGACGUUACUCGCAGAAUAAGCACCGGCUAACUCUGUGCCAGCAGCCGCGGUAAUACAGAGGGUGCGAGCGUUAAUCGGAUUUACUGGGCGUAAAGCGUGCGUAGGCGGCUAAUUGAGUCGGAUGUGAAAUCCCCGAGCUUAACUUGGGAAUUGCAUUCGAUACUGGUUAGCUAGAGUGUGGGAGAGGAUGGUAGAAUUCCAGGUGUAGCGGUGAAAUGCGUAGCGAUCUGGGGGAAUACCGAUGGCGAAGGCAGCCAUCUGGCCUAACACUGACGCUGAGGUACGAAAGCAUGGGGAGCAAACAGG